AACACUGUCUUACAGGGAGAUAUCAUGCAAACCAAAUGUAAACCCUGCAAGGAAUACAUGGAUUGGUAUAGAUCUGUGACCAAUUUGUAUCUAUCACAAAAUAGAUACCUAUUUGAACCUCGUAACGAACCUACGUCUUCAAACUUCCAACACACCAGACCAUCAAUUAGUACUUACAUCUAACAACCAACAUGUAACACCCAACAACUAACAUGUAACACCCAACAACCUUUCAACCCAACAUAACAACCUUAUAUCCCAAGUCAAUACUACCAUCAACCAAACCCAUCAUUUAACCCAACCCCCUACAACACCCAAUAACAAAACCCAAAUUUUACCCCCUCAGCAUACACCCAACAACAAACACCAUCCACCAUCCACCAUCCACUAUAACCAAUACUCAUUCUCACAACCUACCCCACAAGAACACAACUACCAAACCCCUAACCACAAAUACUUUUUUACCACUCACAAACAUUGACCCUUAAUUCAUCCCAAGACCAACAAUCCUACACCCCCUACAUGAAUAACUCAAUGCCACCUACCGUCCAAUCAAAUUGGAAUAACGAGGGAACAAAAUUAAGUUAUGGCAGUGCAGCGACGAUUGACGGGUUUGAUGAUGAUAUGGUCGCUG
Molecule: long non-coding RNA, 634 nt
Filed under: Lathyrus oleraceus (garden pea)
Lineage: Eukaryota; Viridiplantae; Streptophyta; Magnoliopsida; Fabales; Fabaceae
Description: Pisum sativum (pea) long non-coding RNA (PSAT_LNC035755)
Source: RNAcentral